Molecule: ribosomal RNA, 460 nt
Filed under: uncultured bacterium
Lineage: Bacteria
Description: partial 16S ribosomal RNA
Rfam family: Bacterial small subunit ribosomal RNA
Source: RNAcentral
CCUACGAGAGGCCGCAGUGAGGAAUAUUGGUCAAUGGACGCAAGUCUGAACCAGCCAUGCCGCGUGCAGGAAGACGGCUCUAUGAGUUGUAAACUGCUUUUGUACGAGGGUAAACGCAGAUACGCGUAUCUGUCUGAAAGUAUCGUACGAAUAAGGAUCGGCUAACUCCGUGCCAGCAGCCGCGGUAAUACGGAGGAUUCAAGCGUUAUCCGGAUUUAUUGGGUUUAAAGGGUGCGUAGGCGGUCGGAUAAGUUAGAGGUGAAAUCCCGAGGCUCAACUUCGGAAUUGCCUCUGAUACUGGUCGGCUAGAGAGUAGUUGCGGUAGGCGGAAUGUAUGGUGUAGCGGUGAAAUGCUUAGAGAUCAUACAGAACACCGAUUGCGAAGGCAGCUUACCAAGCUACUUCUGACGUUGAGGCACGAAAGCGUGGGGAGCAAACAGGAUUAGAUACCCUUGUAGUC